Non-coding RNA from Elaeis guineensis (African oil palm), 463 nucleotides. The record is from RefSeq and is a predicted model, not a curated record. Lineage: Eukaryota; Viridiplantae; Streptophyta; Magnoliopsida; Arecales; Arecaceae.
AUAAAAUCGCUCGCUUGCUGUCUUCCGUCGCUCGUGGGUCCCAAAGCCCCCUCCACUCCGCUUGGCCGAGAAACGCCGUCAUAGUAAUUGAUUGAGAUGAUAGCAUCACGCCAACCUCAACUAAUCCAUCAUUUCGACGACGGGGCAGCUGGGAGCGUGCGGUUUGCGAGGGCGCUUGCGAUGAUGAUCUCCACACUCUGGAAAAGAGCAAGAACGAGAGAGAGAGGAAGCGAGGGAAUCACGGGUACCCGCGAGCUCGUAAGCUGCUGCUAGAGGGAGCCACCAGCUCACCCACCAGUCUCCGAGCAGCGUUGUAAACGGAUGAUGGCUGGCUCCCUCCUUUUCCAAUGGGGCCUUGCUCUCUUAUUGUGUCCCCUUCCCGUCACAUCCCUUCUUACCUGUUCCAUCAAGAAUAAUAUUAUUGUUAAUAUUUAGUAAUAGUGACGAAGGUUAUGCGAGUCGA